AUACACACACCCACCUCCACACACUUUAAAAUGUAGAAAUUAUAUUUUGUAUUCACCAUUUUCCCCCUCUGUGAGUGAAGAGGCCCAAGGCCAGUUGCAUAGUACUUCUGUUAAGAGUUACUCCAAAAGAGGUCACGAAUGAAUUUGUGGGACUUGUUGAAAUUGCACAGGGUGAGAUCCUACACAGUUGUAGAAGAAAAUGUGGCAAGAAUAGGAUUUUGGAAACUUGCCUAAACUUUUCUAAAACUUUCAGGAUUCAAGAAUCAGAAAUCGUAAAGAGAUGGGAGAAUUAGGAGUUUAGUGUCAAACUGGGAAGAGCAGAGCACAUUCCAAGAAAAAAGGAGGAAAAAUAUUGUUUGACAUGAAAACAGCAAUUAUAAAUAUGCUCUCAGUUCAAAAAAGUAGAAGAGAUGGUUAACAUAAUGGGAAGAGAACUGGAAGGGAUAUUUUUAAAAGACCCAAACAGAACAUCUAGAGUUGGGAAUAAAUUUUAAAGUACAAUGAUGGUAUUAACAGUAGUUGAGACACUGCGCAUCAGUGAACUUCAAGACAGCAAUAGAAACUGUCCAAAAUGAGGACAGAAAGAAAAAUGGAAAAAUU
Sapajus apella (tufted capuchin) is the source of this 600-nucleotide long non-coding RNA. RefSeq lists it as uncharacterized. The transcript has 2 exons. Lineage: Eukaryota; Metazoa; Chordata; Mammalia; Primates; Cebidae. The record is from RefSeq and is a predicted model, not a curated record.